This 876-nucleotide long non-coding RNA is filed under the name Homo sapiens (human). RNAcentral's name for it is "non-protein coding lnc-ZNFX1-2:2". Lineage: Eukaryota; Metazoa; Chordata; Mammalia; Primates; Hominidae. The record is from RNAcentral.
CUCCUCGCCGCCACCGCCCAGGACCGCCGGCCGGGGGACGAGCUCGGAGCAGCAGCCAGUGGAGUUUUGCUCUUGUCGCCCAGGCUGGAGUGCAGUGGCGUGAUCUCGGCUCACUGCAACCUCCACCUCCCAGGUUCAAGCGAUUUUCCCACUUCAGCCUCCCGAUAAGCUGAGAUUACAAGUUUAUUAACCACUUAACCUCUCAGAACUGAACAAAGACAACAUUGUUCCUGGAACGCCCUCUUUUUAAAAAAAAAGCAUAACCCCUACUGUAGAACUAAAUGCACUGUGCAUGAAACUUGGAAAAAAACCAAUGUAUAAGCCUGUUGACCCUUACUCUCGGAUGCAGUCCACCUAUAACUACAACAUGAGAGGAGGUGCUUAUCCCCCGAGUACUUUUACCCAUUUCCAGUUCCACCUUUACUUUAUCAAGUGGAACUUUCUGUGGGAGGACAGCAAUUUAAUGGCAAAGGAAAGACAAGACAGGCUGCGAAACACGAUGCUGCUGCCAAAGCGUUGAGGAUCCUGCAGAAUGAGCCCCUGCCAGAGAGGCUGGAGUGAAUGGAAGAGAAUCCGAAGAAGAAAAUCUCAAUAAAUCUGAAAUAAGUCAAGUGUUUGAGAUUGCACUUAAACGGAACUUGCCUGUGAAUUUCGAUCUUUCCCUCUGAAACAGGUGGCCCGGGAGAGUGGCCCACCCCACAUGAAGAACUUUGUGACCAAGGUUUCGGUUGGGGAGUUUGUGGGGGAAGGUGAAGGGAAAAGCAAGAAGAUUUCAAAGAAAAAUGCCGCCAUAGCUGUUCUUGAGGAGCUGAAGAAGUUACCGCCCCUGCCUGCAGUUGAACGAGUAAAGCCUAGAAUCAAAAAGAAAACAAAACC